Gallus gallus (chicken) is the source of this 1193-nucleotide long non-coding RNA. The record is from Ensembl. NCBI's taxonomy places the organism in Eukaryota, Metazoa, Chordata, Aves, Galliformes, Phasianidae.
CAAGUAUCAGGAGGCUCCUGUAAGGAGAUCAAGCCACUGACAGAGCAAGAAUUUGAGUUGUAAUGCUCAGAGGAGGGAUUCCUAACUCUAGAGCUAUGCGGCAGAAAACUGCCAGGGGACCCAGCGAAGGCUAACACCGUUUCCUUGAAAUGGUCUCUGUUAGAAGGGGUUACACGAGCUACUGCUUCAUAGCAGGGGAAAAGGCCAACAAGAUAUGAGAAAUAAUGGCUUUAUGUUACCAAGGGAAAAAAGCCCCAGGACCCUGCUCCUCAUGAGGCUGAAUGUUCUCCAGCUGUUUCUGCCCAGGGCAUAACUACCCAGAUGGAUGCUGCUUGGAUAGGUGCUUGAAGUUGCCUAAGUCAGUUGUCAACCUGAGCUUGUAAACCCUGCUGAGAGGUGCUUCCUGAGCAGCUGCUGGAAAGAGCUGACUCUGCCCUGCUGCUCUGCUCUAUGUGCCAUCCCAGUACCUGUUCCUUUGAUCGGAGUGACCCAGCAAUUGCCCCAGCCUCGAGCAGUGGCACUGGAUCCACAUGGCCUUAAUGGUGUGCUGUACUUAACAGCAGUUUCUCUAAGGUGGGAAAGGAAGCUGAGGAGUGUCGGGUCUGUGUACAAGAGAAGCUGCAAGAUUUUGUGUGCUUUCAGUGCUGCUGGCAGGAGGAAGAUGUGUGCUAAGAGCUCUCCAGGUGACCUAUUGACCUACUGAAAAUCUGGAUUCAAAUCUAAAUGGAGGAAUGUGGUGAGGAGGAGUUGAAGUUAAGCUGAGGCCUUGGCCUUUUGGAGAAAGGAAUAUAAGGUUCAUGGAACCAAGGAAAGAGUGAAAAAAACAAAGGAGCAUACAUCAGCAACAUCAUCUUCGGUGCACUCAUUUAAUAGUUGGAGUCCUGAACUUUAAUCUUGAAUUCCCCUGUGUCUUGGUACAUUUUAUGUUAAAAUGAAUAUUGGAAAUUAAACGAUACUUAAUCCAUUUCAGGUCCUCGUUCAACAAAUAAUGUGAUAAAUAAGACUCACCCCAGUUUUUGUAUAUAAUCUACAUUGUGAAUUCAUCCUUAUCUUGAUCAGAGGAAGAAAUGGAUCUGAAUCCCGUUGACCCAAGAAUGAAUGCAUUAGCUGUUCUUUAAAGCUGUAGGUUCUUCUACUUCCCUAUGGUGUUCUGGUUUUAUAAGAAAGAAAUUAAAGCUAUUGUUUAUAAAGAG